RNAcentral lists this ribosomal RNA (497 nucleotides) under uncultured bacterium. RNAcentral describes it as "partial 16S ribosomal RNA". It matches the Rfam family "Bacterial small subunit ribosomal RNA", at positions 28 to 507 of the family's 1533-position model. The record is from RNAcentral.
GAUGAACGCUGGCGGCGUGCCUAAUACAUGCAAGUCGAGCGAACGGACGAGAAGCUUGCUUCUCUGAUGUUAGCGGCGGACGGGUGAGUAACACGUGGAUAACCUACCUAUAAGACUGGGAUAACUUCGGGAAACCGGAGCUAAUACCGGAGAAUAUUUUGAACCGCAUGGUUCAAAAGUGAAAGACGGUCUUGCUGUCACUUAUAGAUGGAUCCGCGCUGCAUUAGCUAGUUGGUAAGGUAACGGCUUACCAAGGCAACGAUGCAUAGCCGACCUGAGAGGGUGAUCGGCCACACUGGAACUGAGACACGGUCCAGACUCCUACGGGAGGCAGCAGUAGGGAAUCUUCCGCAAUGGGCGAAAGACUGACGGAGCAACGCCGCGUGAGUGAUGAAGGUCUUCGGAUCGUAAAACUCUGUUAUUAGGGAAGAACAUAUGUGUAAGUAACUGUGCACAUCUUGACGGUACCUAAUCAGAAAGCCACGGCUAACUACGUG